GUAUUUGGCGGACACAACAUCUUUGUUUGUAUGUGGUGCUGAGGAUCGAACCCGGGCCGCACGCAUGCCAGGCGAGUGCGCUACCACUUGAGCCACAUCCCCAGCCCCAGGAAGGACCUUCCUUGUCCCUGCAGACAGCCUGAUUUUGGACUUGGCCUCCAGAGCUGUGAAGGAACAAGGUUGCUGAUGUCUUUAGCCACAGUUGGUGGCACUUCUAUGACAGCACCCGCAAAGAAAUACCACAUCCGU
This 249-nucleotide long non-coding RNA is filed under the name Marmota monax (woodchuck). The record is from RNAcentral. Lineage: Eukaryota; Metazoa; Chordata; Mammalia; Rodentia; Sciuridae.